UGGGGAAUUUUGGACAAUGGGGGAAACCCUGAUCCAGCCAUCCCGCGUGUGCGAUGAAGGCCUUCGGGUUGUAAAGCACUUUUGGCAGGAAAGAAACGUCAUGGGUUAAUACCCCGUGAAACUGACGGUACCUGCAGAAUAAGCACCGGCUAACUACGUGCCAGCAGCCGCGGUAAUACGUAGGGUGCAAGCGUUAAUCGGAAUUACUGGGCGUAAAGCGUGCGCAGGCGGUUCGGAAAGAAAGAUGUGAAAUCCCAGAGCUUAACUUUGGAACUGCAUUUUUAACUACCGGGCUAGAGUGUGUCAGAGGGAGGUGGAAUUCCGCGUGUGGCAGUGAAAUGCGUAGAUAUGCGGAGGAACACCGAUGGCGAAGGCAGCCUCCUGGGAUAACACUGACGCUCAUGCACGAAAGCGUGGGGAGCAAACAGG
RNAcentral lists this ribosomal RNA (429 nucleotides) under Acidobacteriota bacterium. RNAcentral describes it as "Acidobacteria bacterium partial 16S ribosomal RNA". It matches the Rfam family "Bacterial small subunit ribosomal RNA", at positions 355 to 776 of the family's 1533-position model. Lineage: Bacteria; Pseudomonadati; Acidobacteriota. The record is from RNAcentral.